GGCGGGCUGUUAAGUCAGCGGUCAAAUGUCAGGACCCAACCUUGGCAUGCCGUUGAUACUGUCGGUCUUGAAUGCACCCAAGGAAGGUGGAAUUCGUCAUGUAGCGGUGAAAUGCUUAGAUAUGACGAAGAACUCCGAUUGCGAAGGCAGCCUUCUGGAGUGCAAUUGACGCUGAGGCUCGAAAGUGCGGGUAUCGAACAGGAUUAGAUACCCUGGUAGUCCGCACCGUAAACGAUGAAUGCUGGUCAUGGGCGACAAGCUGUCCGUGACUGAGGGAAACCAUUAAGCAUUCCACCUGGGGAGUACGCCGGCAACGGUGAAACUCAAAGGAAUUGACGGGGGCCCGCACAAGCGGAGGAACAUGUGGUUUAAUUCGAUGAUACGCGAGGAACCUUACCCGGGCUUGAACUGCACAGGACGCGUCCAGAGAUGGUCGUUCCCUUCGGGGUCUGUGCGGAGGUGCUGCAUGGUUGUCGUCAGCUCGUGCCGUGAGGUGUCGGCUUAAGUGCCAUAACGAGCGCAACCCUCGCCGUCAGUUGCCAUCAGUAUAGGCUGGGCACUCUGUCGGGACUGCCAUCGCAAGGUGCGAGGAAGGUGGGGAUGACGUCAAAUCAGCACGGCCCUUACGUCCGGGGCUACACACGUGUUACAAUGGGGGGCACAGCGCGUUGCGACCGGGUGACCGGCAGCGGAUCGUGAAAUCCCCUCUCAGUUCGGACUGGAGUCUGCAACCCGACUCCACGAAGCUGGAUUCGCUAG
This 759-nucleotide ribosomal RNA is filed under the name uncultured Bacteroidota bacterium. Its description in RNAcentral is "bacterial SSU rRNA". It matches the Rfam family "Bacterial small subunit ribosomal RNA", at positions 574 to 1338 of the family's 1533-position model. The record is from RNAcentral. Lineage: Bacteria; Pseudomonadati; Bacteroidota.